RNAcentral lists this ribosomal RNA (45 nucleotides) under Termitomyces striatus. RNAcentral's name for it is "partial large subunit ribosomal RNA". Lineage: Eukaryota; Fungi; Basidiomycota; Agaricomycetes; Agaricales; Lyophyllaceae. The record is from RNAcentral.
UUGACCUCAAAUCAGGUAGGAUUACCCGCUGAACUUAAGCAUAUA